GGCGCUGUAGCUCAGUUGGGAGAGCGUUCGACUGAAAAUCGAAAGGUCACGGGUUCAAUCCCCGUCGGUGCCA
This 73-nucleotide transfer RNA is filed under the name Enterococcus sp. RNAcentral describes it as "tRNA-Phe". It matches the Rfam family "tRNA". From Rfam's summary of the family: Transfer RNA (tRNA) molecules are approximately 80 nucleotides in length. Their secondary structure includes four short double-helical elements and three loops (D, anti-codon, and T loops). Lineage: Bacteria; Bacillati; Bacillota; Bacilli; Lactobacillales; Enterococcaceae. The record is from RNAcentral.